CACGUAGGGUGCGAGCGUUGUCCGGAAUUAUUGGGCGUAAAGAGCUCGUAGGCGGUGUGUCGCGUCGGCCGUGAAAACCUGCAGCUUAACUGUGGGCUUGCGGUCGAUACGGGCAUCACUGGAGUUCGGCAGGGGAGACUGGAAUUCCUGGUGUAGCGGUGAAAUGCGCAGAUAUCAGGAGGAACACCAAUGGCGAAGGCAGCUCGCUGGAACGGUACUGACGCUGAGGCGCGAAAGCGUGGGGAGCAAACAGG
Molecule: ribosomal RNA, 254 nt
Filed under: uncultured bacterium
Lineage: Bacteria
Description: partial 16S ribosomal RNA
Rfam family: Bacterial small subunit ribosomal RNA
Source: RNAcentral